This 497-nucleotide ribosomal RNA is filed under the name uncultured bacterium. Its description in RNAcentral is "partial 16S ribosomal RNA". It matches the Rfam family "Bacterial small subunit ribosomal RNA", at positions 28 to 507 of the family's 1533-position model. The record is from RNAcentral.
GAUGAACGCUGGCGGCGUGCCUAAUACAUGCAAGUCGAGCGAACAGACGAGGAGCUUGCUCCUCUGACGUUAGCGGCGGACGGGUGAGUAACACGUGGAUAACCUACCUAUAAGACUGGUAUAACUUCGGGAAACCGGAGCUAAUACCGUAUAAUAUAUUGAACCGCAUGGUUCAAUAGUGAAAUACGGUUUUUCUGUCACUUAUAGAUGGAUCCGCGCCGCAUUAGCUAGUUGGUAAGGUAACGGCGUACCAAGGCAACGAUGCGUAGCCGACCUGUGAGGGGGAUCGGCCACACUAGAACUGAGACACGGUCAAGACUCCUACGGGAGGCAGCAGUAGGGAAUCUUACGCAAUGGGCGGAAGCCUGACGGAGCAACGCCGCGUGAGUGAUGAAGGUCUUCGGAUCGUAAAACUCUGUUAUUAGGGAAGAACAAAUGUGUAAGUAACUAUGCACGUCUUGACGGUACCUAAUCAGAAAGCCACGGCUAACUACGUG